UGGAAACUGUCUGACUNGAGUGCAGAAGGGGAGAGUGGAAUUCCAUGUGUAGCGGUGAAAUGCGUAGAUAUAUGGAGGANCACCAGUGGCGAAAGCGGCUCUCUGGUCUGUCACUGACGCUGAGGCUCGAAAGCGUGGGUAGCGAACAGGAUUAGAUACCCUGGUAGUCCACGCCGUAAACGAUGAGUGCUAGGUGUUAGGCCCUUUCCGGGGCUUAGUGCCGGAGCUAACGCAAUAAGCACUCCGCCUGGGGAGUACGACCGCAAGGUUGAAACUCAAAGGAAUUGACGGGGGCCCGCACAAGCGGUGGAGCAUGUGGUUUAAUUCGAAGCAACGCGAAGAACCUUACCAGGUCUUGACAUCCCGAUGCUAUUCUUAGAGAUAGGAAGUUACUUCGGUACAUCGGAGACAGGUGGUGCAUGGUUGUCGUCAGCUCGUGUCGUGAGAUGUUGGGUUAAGUCCCGCAACGAGCGCAACCCUUAUUGUUAGUUGCCAUCAUUAAGUUGGGCACUCUAGCGAGACUGCCGGUAAUAAACCGGAGGAAGGUGGGGAUGACGUCAAAUCAUCAUGCCCCUUAUGACCUGGGCUACACACGUGCUACAAUGGUCGGUACAAUGAGUUGCGAGCCGGUGACGGCAAGCUAAUCUCUGAAAGCCGAUCUCAGUUCGGAUUGGAGGCUGCAACUCGCCUCCAUGAAGUCGGAAUCGCUAGUAAUCGCGGAUCAGCACGCCGCGGUGAAUACGUUCCCGGGCCUUGUACACACCGCCCGUCACACCACGAGAGUUUGUAACACCCGAAGUCGGUGAGGUAACCUUUUAGGGGCCAGCCGCCUAAGGUGGGANGGAU
This 846-nucleotide ribosomal RNA is filed under the name uncultured bacterium. RNAcentral describes it as "bacterial SSU rRNA". It matches the Rfam family "Bacterial small subunit ribosomal RNA", at positions 627 to 1472 of the family's 1533-position model. The record is from RNAcentral.